CGUAAACCCACACCGACCCCUUUAACAGUACUGAGGACCUCUAUAAUCCUAUAGAGCCUUUUAUGCUAAAACUAGUAACAAGAGAUCUCCUCUCCUAAUGCAAACAUAACCCAGCAAGAACCAAUCACUGGCAAUUAACAGGAUAAUAUAAAUGUAGCAACCUCACUAGAAAACUCUACUUUAACUAACUGUUAACCUAACACCAGAGCAUUUCAAGAAAGAUUAAAAGGGGGAGAAGGAAUUCGGCAAAGAAUCAGCCUCGCCUGUUUACCAAAAACAUCGCCUCUCGAUCCCAUGAGAGGUCCAGCCUGCCCAGUGACUCUGUUCAACGGCCGCGGUAUCCUAACCGUGCGAAGGUAGCGUAAUCAUUUGUCUUCUAAAUAAAGACCUGUAUGAAAGGCAUCACGAAGGCUAAACUGUCUCCUCCCCCUAAUCAGUGAACCUAAUCUCCCCGUGAAGAAGCGGGGAUUCUUCUAUAAGACGAGAAGACCCUAUGGAGCUUUAAACAUCAUAACACUGCCACAACUAACAACUAUCCAGAUAUUUCUCCCCAUGGCACCCUGAUUAUAAGUUUUUGGUUGGGGUGACCGCGGAGAAAAAUUUAUCCUCCACAAUGAAAGGGGCCCCCCCUAAACAAUAAGUUACAACUUUAUGUAUCAACAAUUUGACAUCCAUUGACCCAACAAAUUGAUCAACGAACCAAGUUACCCUAGGGAUAACAGCGCAAUCCACUUCGAGAGCCCCUAUCGACAAGUGGGCUUACGACCUCGAUGUUGGAUCGGGAUAACCUAGUGGUGCAGCCGCUACUAA
Molecule: ribosomal RNA, 810 nt
Filed under: Pristimantis mindo (Mindo rainfrog)
Lineage: Eukaryota; Metazoa; Chordata; Amphibia; Anura; Strabomantidae
Description: partial 16S ribosomal RNA
Rfam family: Bacterial large subunit ribosomal RNA
Source: RNAcentral